Molecule: transfer RNA, 73 nt
Filed under: Candidatus Omnitrophota bacterium
Lineage: Bacteria; Pseudomonadati; Candidatus Omnitrophota
Description: Candidatus Omnitrophica bacterium (aquatic metagenome) tRNA-Ala
Rfam family: tRNA
About the family: Transfer RNA (tRNA) molecules are approximately 80 nucleotides in length. Their secondary structure includes four short double-helical elements and three loops (D, anti-codon, and T loops). Further hydrogen bonds mediate the characteristic L-shaped molecular structure. tRNAs have two regions of fundamental functional importance: the anti-codon, which is responsible for specific mRNA codon recognition, and the 3' end, to which the tRNAs corresponding amino acid is attached (by aminoacyl-tRNA synthetases). tRNAs cope with the degeneracy of the genetic code in two manners: having more than one tRNA (with a specific anti-codon) for a particular amino acid; and 'wobble' base-pairing, i.e. permitting non-standard base-pairing at the 3rd anti-codon position.
Source: RNAcentral
GGGGCUGUAGCUCAGUGGGAGUAGCGCUUCCUCGGCAUGGAAGAGGUCGAGGGUUCAAAUCCCUCCAGCUCCA